This 1423-nucleotide long non-coding RNA is filed under the name Macaca fascicularis (crab-eating macaque). RNAcentral's name for it is "lncRNA (ENSMFAG00000050184.1)". The record is from RNAcentral. Lineage: Eukaryota; Metazoa; Chordata; Mammalia; Primates; Cercopithecidae.
UUUUUUUUUUUUUUUUUUGAGACGGAGUCUCGCUCUGUCGCCCAGGCUGGAGUGCAGUGGCCGGAUCUCAGCUCACUGCAAGCUCCGCCUCCGGGUUCCCGCCAUUCUCCUGCCUCAACCUCCCGAGUAGCUGGGACUACAGGUGCCACCUCACCGGCUAGUUUUGUAUUCUUUUAGUAGAGACGGGUUUCACCAUGUUAGCCAGGAUGGUCUCGAUCUCCUGACCUCGUGAUCCACCCGUCUCGGCCUCCCAAAGUGCUGGGAUUACAGGCUUGAGCCACCGCGCCCGGCCCCCACCCUACCUUUUUAAUAUGCAAAUACAGGGAGCCUUGAUAUUCUACCCCUGUGGGGAUAUGUGGGCGUGGCCAUGUUGCCAGGCACUGUUGGGGCAAAGGCAAGAGGGACGCGGGAAUCGCCAUGUUUGGGUGGACCCAGUUCCUAAUGGCAUUUGCAUAUCAAAGUUGCCAGCCCAGCUCUAAAAGCCACAGCUUUUUAGCUAGGCAAGAAACGUUUCUGGAGCUGAGUUAAAAACAAAAACUUUCCAAGGGGCUCUUUUCAUCGCUAUCUGCCUAAAAUAAUUUCUUAAUUAACUUCUCUCACAUCAUCACCUCCCAUAACUUGUCUCCAAGACAGCCCCACACUCCUCUUCCCUUCUCUAGCUCAGGAUGUGUACACUUCAGUCAUCUGACCCGUCUUUGAGUCUCAUGUUUCAUGACUCUCCCAUGUGUAUACAACGAAAUAUAUUUUUCCUCCUGUUAAUCUGUCGUAUGUCAAUUUGACUUGAAGGCCAGACAAAGAACCUAGGAAGGUGGAGGGAAGCCACUUUUUUCUGCCCUGUACCCCUCACCUCGCUCGUGGAGGCUCUCGCUCGUGGAGGCUGUGAGGGAACAGGACCCUGCUGAGUGUCACGUGAGAAUCUGCCUCCACUUGGAGUUUUGUUAAUGCAUGACUGACAGGAAGGGCAGCGCAGUCAGUUACUCCGUGGACCUCAUCCCCAGUUGAUGGCCUGUACUUUGAGGCACUCAGUCAUUGGUUAUUCACUGUUCAUUCAACAAAUACUUACUGAACACUCUGGAAAUAAAUGAAGACCAACCAAAUAAGAAAAUCAAAGGCUAUUUACCCAGAGUUCCCUAUAGUAAAGGAGUCAGCCACCGCCACUUGUACUUCGUCAGAGAAGAGGAAAAGCUUUCAAGUGGAAAAAGAAGCCUCAGGUGUGCUCUGAGGGGAGGCUGUGGCUGUGGGGGUGCUGGAGGUGGGCUAACUAGGAGCAGGUGUCCCAUCAUGUUACGGUAAGGGAGGAGACCAACCCUCGUAUCGUCUUAUGCCCAAUUUCUGCCUCCAAAGAAAGAAGAAGUAAAAACUAAAAGGCAGAAAUGAAAUCCACAGGCACACAGCCCGGUGCCGCUAAAACUACCUUUAACCA